Molecule: long non-coding RNA, 203 nt
Filed under: Panax ginseng (ginseng)
Lineage: Eukaryota; Viridiplantae; Streptophyta; Magnoliopsida; Apiales; Araliaceae
Description: long non-coding RNA (PGIN_LNC010646)
Source: RNAcentral
AUAAGUCUCCUUAGCGAUCAAUGACUUUUCAGAUAAUAUAGAUUUCAACAUUAAUCAUAAAAGAACAUUUGAGUAAAUAGUUACCGUACAAUUCAAUCCUUCCACCAUACAAUGUCCCAAUUAAAUAUAAGACAUGGAAUUACUGUUAAGUCUUAUUUUAUUUAAUUAUAUGUAUUUCGAUUCCCAAAUGCACAAUUCCGAAU